UCUGGUCUUGGGACACUGUCAGGUGGGCAGUUUGACUGGGGCGGUCGCCUCCCAAAAGGUAACGGAGGCGCUCAAAGGUUCUCUCAGUACGGUCGGAAAUCGUACGUAGAGUGUAAAGGCAAAAGAGAGCUUGAUUGCAAGACAUACAGGCCGAGCAAGGAUGAAAAUCGGACUUAGUGAUCCGGUGGUUCUGCGUGGAAGGGCCAUCGCUCAACGGAUAAAAGCUACCCUGGGGAUAACAGGCUUAUCUCCCCCAAGAGUCCACAUCGACGGGGAGGUUUGGCACCUCGAUGUCGGC
This 298-nucleotide ribosomal RNA is filed under the name Clostridioides difficile. RNAcentral's name for it is "partial 23S ribosomal RNA". It matches the Rfam family "Bacterial large subunit ribosomal RNA", at positions 2239 to 2536 of the family's 2925-position model. Lineage: Bacteria; Bacillati; Bacillota; Clostridia; Peptostreptococcales; Peptostreptococcaceae. The record is from RNAcentral.